This is a non-coding RNA of Myodes glareolus (Bank vole), 1338 nucleotides long. Lineage: Eukaryota; Metazoa; Chordata; Mammalia; Rodentia; Cricetidae. The record is from RefSeq and is a predicted model, not a curated record.
CUGCUACAGUCCAGGCCAGCCUGGCUUCAAACUUAAGAAAAUCUCCCAGUCUGACUCUUAGCAGCUGAGAUUGCAGGAUGACUCAGCAGCUGCAGCAAAACAUCCAGUUGACAAGCUCUGCUAGUAGAUGACACUAAGUCCCAGGCAUUCGCUGGUGAUUCGUUAUUCUUAGGUGAAAAGUGUGCCUGUCUUAACCUCUACUGUAAAAUAUUAGGUGAAGUAAAAUGGCCAGGCUUGUGACCUGGUUUUAAUCUUAAAAUCGGCUUGCAAAUACUCCUGCUCCUUAGCAUUCUGUACACAUCUAGAGAAAAUGGUAAUAGUGCCAAGCCUCCCAACCAAUGGAAAGUAACUUUUGGGUACAUAAUCAGUUUUUACUAUUCAAAACUUUUUCUCAGAUCUUUACUUUUUAAACUAUCGAAAGUGAUACAAUAUAACAUUACCAAACAAAACGCUAAGAAUUCAAUUUCAGCACUUCCCAAAAUAAAACAAAGUCUACAUUUAACAGUAUGCAACAAGUUAUUAGGACUUCUUCAACAAGUCUAAAACGCACACUUCCUACUUUAGUUCACCGAGGUACUUUAAGUGGCUUUGUUUCAAUAAGUUUUUAACACUCUUAACUCACAAGCAAUUUUUAAACACUGAAAUCUUUCUCAGAACCAAAUAUCUCAUUUACAAGAGGAAGCAACUUUUUUAAAUUAUAAACAUCCACAAAGGCAUACGACGGCUUAACUAUAUAAGACCACUAUGUGUGCCCAAAGUGCCUUAAACUACUAGAAAACGCCCAGUAUUAAAAAUAUUUGGUGUAUGAGAUCAGAGCUGGAGAACUGGUUAAGCGUCCUGAGAAUGGUUGAUUCUGGCCUUCAAAUUACAGAGCGGGGAGGAGAGGAGAGGAGAGGAGAGAGGAAGAAUCGCGCAGCAGAGACCAGACGUAAGAAUAGAGAGGGACUUUCAAAACGCCUCAGUGCCAUAGUAACUAUAACUUAACAUAGGUUAAGAGUGGCAGAGGAGGAGAAGCUAAGGCAGCGUGUGCAGAUCGGGGAAGGCCAACCCGGGAGAUGAGCGGACCGGAUAACCAGUAACGUCUCAAUGCAGCUAAGACUGAAUUAGUCCACGAUGCGGGGAACAGCGCCCCCCUCCCCAAGUCCCUCUGGGCCGCAGCAGCAACUACCCUCGCCACGCACCCUCAACCCGCGAGCACCGGAAAGAAAAAGAAAAGAAAUAAAGUCUGCUAGCCGAUGGGCCUAUUGCCACAUCUCUUUCCCUUGUUCCUGUGCGAGGUCAUGAGUAAUCCCAUCAAACCCCCAAAACCCGCCAAAAAAGAAACCCGAGUAUCCAAAG